UGGUGGGUAGUUUGACUGGGGCGGUCUCCUCCCAAAGCGUAACGGAGGAGCACGAAGGUUAGCUAAUCCUGGUCGGACAUCAGGAGGUUAGUGCAAUGGCAUAAGCUAGCUUGACUGCGAGCGUGACGGCGCGAGCAGGUGCGAAAGCAGGUCAUAGUGAUCCGGUGGUUCUGAAUGGAAGGGCCAUCGCUCAACGGAUAAAAGGUACUCCGGGGAUAACAGGCUGAUACCGCCCAAGAGUUCAUAUCGACGGCGGUGUUUGGCACCUCGAUGUCGGCUCAUCACAUCCUGGGGCUGAAGUAGGUCCCAAGGGUAUGGCUGUUCGCCAUUUAAAGUGGUACGCGAGCUGGGUUUAGAACGUCGUGAGACAGUUCGGUCCCUAUCUGCCGUGGGCGCUGGAGAAUUGAGGGGGGCUGCUCCUAGUACGAGAGGACCGGAGUGGACGCAUCACUGGUGUUCGGGUUGUCAUGCCAAUGGCACUGCCCGGUAGCUAAAUGCGGAAGAGAUAAGUGCUGAAAGCAUCUAAGCACGAAACUUGCCCCGAGAUGA
Molecule: ribosomal RNA, 549 nt
Filed under: Klebsiella pneumoniae
Lineage: Bacteria; Pseudomonadati; Pseudomonadota; Gammaproteobacteria; Enterobacterales; Enterobacteriaceae
Description: partial 23S ribosomal RNA
Rfam family: Bacterial large subunit ribosomal RNA
Source: RNAcentral